RNAcentral lists this unclassified non-coding RNA (2469 nucleotides) under Gigantopelta aegis. Its description in RNAcentral is "mucin-5AC-like, transcript variant X2". Lineage: Eukaryota; Metazoa; Mollusca; Gastropoda; Neomphalida; Peltospiridae. The record is from RNAcentral.
CAAGAGGUGGUAUUUCUGUUUUUAAAAAAAUUGUCAAAUCAUUCACACGCUAUGACCUCCGAAAGUUCGAACAAUACCCCACCACGUGCUUCCACCCAUCGUCUUGUAAGACAGUGAGGGGAGUACAGUGGUGUUAGACAAGUGGAGCUGUUCCCGCCUACACGUUAAACACUCGUUACGAGAGAGCGUGCUGGGGAGUGUACACCUGUACAAGAUGAUGAUUCGCUCACGUCAUACACUGACCCAGUUGCUCAAUACGACGAUCAGAACGUCAAUACUUGUUUAAACAGCGUUUCGUCCACGCUAUAAGUUAAGUUUAUUUACCUUCAACCCGCCUCUUGUGUAGGUUGGUUAUUCAGUCAGUAAAGAAAAAAGUUGUAUAACUAACGGGAGUAUCAUAAACACGUCCAAUCCUUAUCUGUGUGGUAUGAUCUCGAUUUAGCUAGAUUAUGUUCAUACAAUAUUAGUUCAUAAUAAAUUUCUGUUAGAUGUAUGAGUAAUGCAAAGCAUCUGUUAGGUCGAUGCGCAUUUCUGGCUUAAACGAAAAUGGAUUUACAAAUUUGAGUUUAUUUCUGAAGACAUGUCGGUGAAUUCAGCCCUCCAGAAAUAAUGUAUUCCUUUCGACGACUCAUACAAACAGCAGUGGCUGUUGUGUGUAUCUGUGUUUGGGUGACACUACAGACAGGUGAAGCUCACGGUGAUACAGGCCACAAUGGACUAAUUAAUCCGUUUUCAAGCAACAGAAGUACCGUGGGGGUAUGCUGCAAGUAUGGAGGGCUUUUCUCUUCCUGGUUCAGCAGCUGCUGCAGAAAGAUAAAGGAUAUCACUGGUGUGUGUACCCGGCUGUGUCACGCCGAACCUGUGUUGUACAGAGGCCGGUUGAGUAACACGACAAUGACGGCUACCUUACCGUACACGUCUUUCCUGGUGGCAGAAUAUACACUGACUACACACGAUAACGAAAUCAUUCUGAGGAUAGACAUUAAACUCGGAGUAUACAAUGAGAAAAACGGUAACAGAUCUCUGUUGGAUUUUCUCACCUGCUUAAAAAGUUCCAGUUCCUUAUCUUCACAAUGUAUUCAUAAUUUAGUGAUUACUUUACAAGAAGGAACAAGUAUAAACUAUUCAGCAUCACAUAACCUGACAUCAUCUCAAACGACGACGACAACGUCAGCGCACUCCUCUACACCAACACCUGGAGGAACAGCAACAUCACCUCACACAUCAACAACCACAACGUCCUUAAAUUCGUCAACCUCACAAAGAUUAAUAUCAACAUCACCCACGACGUCGUUACGAAAUGUAAAAACAUCACAACCACUGGGAUUGAAAACAUCAACAUAUACGACGCAGUCACGAUAUACAGAGACAUUAACAACACAUACUGGAUUGACAUUAACGUCAUCCACAACAUCAGUAUAUGCGAUAACAUCAACAUCACAAGCAAGAACAUCAACAAUGUCCACAAUGUCAUCUCGAUCUAAAGACACCUCGACAUCACAGGCAUCAGUUCCAACAACGUUAACAACGUCAUCAGAAUUAACAAGCAUGUCAAAAUCGAGCGUUUUAACAGCAACAAAGUCGCCGUCGUCGUCGUCGACAUCCUCAGUGUAUACGUCAUACACCAACACAGAGAGUGAAAUAAUCCCAAGCGCCGAGGCGGCGGCCCGCCACUCCCCGUCCACCCGGAUUCUGAUCGGCGUCGUCGUGGGCGGAGUUCUCGCCGGCAUCGUCCUCGCCUCCGUCAUCAUCGUGCUGUGGUGUAUCCUCAGAAACAAACGAAAGCCUGCUACACGAACCGAGGACAGCAUCUACAAUGAUAAUACCCCACAAAAGGUAGUAGUAAGAUAUCCCAUACGUCACCCCAUAGUCUUACAGAUGGAGGUUAUUUUCGUCACAAGUGUGGGCAAUUCCAUAAAUACUGUGGAAGCUCACAUUACCAUUUUUAAAAAUAUCUUCACAUACACAUAACAAUUAUGAGACGAUAUUAUUCUUGUAACUAACACAACAAACCGUCAUUUUGUAAAGCUAUCAGGAGGAUAUCUUCUUUAAAUACUUUUUAAAAUACGUGGUGUUGAUCUAGACAAAUCUGAAUUCUUUAAACACUGGUCCUGUGGUUUGUAUAAAAAACUGAAUAGUUAUCUGUGAAGAAGUACCAUAGCUAGGUAAAGUGACACAUGUCUGUAUAGAAAACUGAAUAGUUAUCUGUGAAGAAGUACCAUAGCUAGGUAAAGUGACACAUGUCUGUAUAGAAAACUGAAUAGUUAGCUGUGAAGACGUGCCAUAGCUAGGUAAAGUGACACAUGUCUGUAUAGAAAACUGAUUAGUUAGCUGUGAAGACGUGCCAUAGCUAGGUAAAGUGACACAUGUCAAACAAACCUGUAUCAAUGUCAUGUACAAGUGUGGAAGUGACUGUUGAGGACAACAUUUGUUUAAUGUAAUAAAACAAAUAUGUGGGAAAGUAAAAAA